Molecule: ribosomal RNA, 733 nt
Filed under: Entamoeba moshkovskii
Lineage: Eukaryota; Evosea; Mastigamoebida; Endamoebidae
Description: SSU rRNA
Rfam family: Eukaryotic small subunit ribosomal RNA
Source: RNAcentral
UAAUCACUUUAUCAUUACUUUGAAUAAAAUAGAGUGUUUAAAGCAAAACAUUAAGUUAAUGAAUAUUCAAGCAUGGGACAAUGCUGAGGGGAGGUCUUCGGACAAUUCGAGAGAAGGAUUAAAAGGAACAAUUGGGGUGAUUCAGAAAAUAACGGGAGAGGUGAAAUUCCAUGAUCGCUAUAAGAUGCACGAGAGCGAAAGCAUUUCACUCAACUGGGUCCAUUAAUCAAGAACGAAAGUUAGGGGAUCGAAGACGAUCAGAUACCGUCGUAGUCCUAACUAUAAACGAUGUCAACCAAGGAUUGGAUGAAAUAAAGAAAUUCGCGGAUGAAGAAACAUUGUUUCGGAAACCAAGAGUUUCACAACUACCUUGUUCAGAACUUAAAGAGAAAUCUCGAGUUUAUGGACUUCAGGGGGAGUAUGGUCACAAGGCUGAAACUUAAAGGAAUUGACGGAAGGGCACACCAGGAGUGGAGCCUGCGGCUUAAUUUGACUCAACACGGGAAAACUUACCAAGACCGAACAGUAGAAGGAAUGACAGAUUAAGAGUUCUUUCAUGAUUUAUUGGGUAGUGGUGCAUGGCCGUUCUUAGUUGGUGGAGUGAUUUGUCAGGUUAAUUCCGGUAACGAACGAGACUGAAACCUAUUAAUUAGUUUCCUGCCUAUACGACAGGAAUCUCCGCAAGGUCAGGUGCCUCGGUACCACUUCUUAAAGGGACACAUUUCAAUUGUCU